Long non-coding RNA from Microplitis demolitor, 753 nucleotides. RefSeq lists it as uncharacterized. The transcript has 3 exons. The record is from RefSeq and is a predicted model, not a curated record. Lineage: Eukaryota; Metazoa; Arthropoda; Insecta; Hymenoptera; Braconidae.
UUUUUUAAUUAAAAAGUGUUGAUUAUUUAGACAGGUUUUCAAUGGAUUCCACCGACGGAAACUAUCGUUUUCUGAUGUCUUGACUGGAAGGAAGGAUGGAACUGAAACACACUGACCUACCUCAAGAAACUGCUAGUUGUCAUCCUACCAGCUGAUCAUCUGGCAUCGUUCGGCAGAGAAAUAAAGUUAUUUCCCUGUUGAGGUUUAAGUAUAGGAUUUGGAUGAUUUUUUCCCUAUAUCUUUGAUGACGUGUCUAAUCUAGAGUCCAAUGGAAUCUAUUGACAUGACUGGCCUACCAGGACCAGAAUAAUUUUUUGGACAGUGAUGUUGCUGAACAUUGAGGACAAGGUGUUGCCGAGCCAAGGACACACCGCUGCUUUUAAUUUUUUUUCUGUUUCAGAUCCAGUCAACGAGAAUAAGGAUAUCCAUAGGUGCCAAGGAAUACCGAGACCAGGAGAAGGAGGACCAGGACCAGAAAGAAGAAUAAUUAUUAAUUGAUCAUCAAGAUUAAUAUUAUCAUUAUUAUUAUUAUUAUUAUUAUUAUUAAUUAUUAAUUUAGUUUAAGAUUAAUUGUAUUUAGUUUGAAAUUAUUAUUUUAUACAGGUGUGAGUGUGAUGAAUGAUAUUAGAAUAAUUUAUAAUUUAAGAAUGUAAUUUAUAUUUUUAUAGAGUGAGAAUGUUUUCGAGUGGCAUGUAUCUUUUGCAUUUUUCGCAUGGUGCUUGCGUGUUUUGCUUUUUUUUUUUUUUUUGAUUU